This 234-nucleotide ribosomal RNA is filed under the name uncultured bacterium. RNAcentral describes it as "partial 16S ribosomal RNA". It matches the Rfam family "Bacterial small subunit ribosomal RNA", at positions 118 to 350 of the family's 1533-position model. The record is from RNAcentral.
UGGGCAACCUGCCCCUCUCUCUGGGAUAACCCCGGGGAAACCGGAGCUAAUACCGGAUACUCCGGCUGGAUCGCAUGGUCCGGCCGGGAAAGGUCCGCCGGAGAGGGAUGGGCCCGCGGCCUAUCAGCUUGUUGGUGAGGUAACGGCUCACCAAGGCUACGAUGCGUAGCCGACCUGAGAGGGUGAUCGGCCACAUUGGAACUGAGACACGGUCCAGACUCCGUACGGGAGGCA